Molecule: ribosomal RNA, 214 nt
Filed under: Clostridioides difficile
Lineage: Bacteria; Bacillati; Bacillota; Clostridia; Peptostreptococcales; Peptostreptococcaceae
Description: partial 23S ribosomal RNA
Rfam family: Bacterial large subunit ribosomal RNA
Source: RNAcentral
UACUACCGAAGCUACGGCAUCAGUAAUGAUGGGUAGGGGAGCUUCCCAUACGGGUUGAAGCAUGACCGUAAGGACAUGUGGACAGUCUGGGAGUGAGAAUGUUGGCAUGAGUAGCGAGAUGUGGGUGAGAAUCCCACAGGCCGUAAACCCAAGGUUUCCAGGGGAAGGUUCGUCCGCCCUGGGUUAGUCGGGACCUAAGCUGAGGCCGAAAGGC